GCGGGAUUAGCUCAGCGGUAGAGCAGGGCUUUUACACAGCCAAGGUCGGGAGUUCAAUCCUCUCAUCCCGCACCA
This 75-nucleotide transfer RNA is filed under the name Bdellovibrionales bacterium. RNAcentral's name for it is "tRNA-Val". It matches the Rfam family "tRNA". From Rfam's summary of the family: Transfer RNA (tRNA) molecules are approximately 80 nucleotides in length. Their secondary structure includes four short double-helical elements and three loops (D, anti-codon, and T loops). Further hydrogen bonds mediate the characteristic L-shaped molecular structure. tRNAs have two regions of fundamental functional importance: the anti-codon, which is responsible for specific mRNA codon recognition, and the 3' end, to which the tRNAs corresponding amino acid is attached (by aminoacyl-tRNA synthetases). tRNAs cope with the degeneracy of the genetic code in two manners: having more than one tRNA (with a specific anti-codon) for a particular amino acid; and 'wobble' base-pairing, i.e. permitting non-standard base-pairing at the 3rd anti-codon position. Lineage: Bacteria; Pseudomonadati; Bdellovibrionota; Bdellovibrionia; Bdellovibrionales. The record is from RNAcentral.